Molecule: long non-coding RNA, 836 nt
Organism: Poecilia latipinna (sailfin molly)
Lineage: Eukaryota; Metazoa; Chordata; Actinopteri; Cyprinodontiformes; Poeciliidae
Exons: 2
Source: RefSeq, a predicted model, not a curated record
CAUGUUAGCUCUGCUUGUGCUGCUCUAUGACAGAACCUGUAGUCACCUUUCAGAGGUGAGUUCAGCGAGUGGUGAGAAUGAUUUAUCUUCUUUAUGAACCAAUAAUUAUGUGCAGCGUUUACAUCUCAACAUGCUGCCCAGCCUGUGGCUCUGUGUCUGGGCUAUAAAGUUUGUAUGUCUUCCUGGUUAGCCGGUGAGUUAACCACUAACGUUGUGGAGCUUUGCGCUCUCUUCAUAGUCAUUUUAAUUUAUUAUUUUUCCAGUUACACCCAAGGCUGGGCAAUAUGAGGAAAAUAUUUUUGCUAUAUCACGAUAAACAAUAUAUAUCAUGAUAUUCUUAAAUGAGCUUCAAAUGUUAUUUUAAACUAUACACUCCUUGCAGCAUGAUGUCACCAUGCAUGUUGCCGCCCCCAUUUUCGCUGGUGUAAAUUUUUACAAAAGGGGGCGCUGGGAUUACUUAGGGAGGCGUUUGGUCGAAGGUAAACUUUACAUUUUAAAUGCACAACAAUACCAGUUUAGACUUUGAGCAACUUGCUAAAACUGUAUUGUAGCAUUCAUUUUAUAGCGAUAACACCGGAGCUGUAAGUGGUCCGGUAUGAAACGGGUGUAAUAGAACAACGGAACCACAGCACUUUUACAUUUCAAUAAUCAGAAUACCGAAAUUGUUUCCGUUGUUUUAAAAGGUUUAUGUCAGUCUGCCUUUUCCCCAUCGAUACGCUUCCCGACCGCCCUGCACCUUAAGGGGUUAAAAAAAAAAAACGACGCGCAUAUUGCGCAAAACUCUAAAACAGGAGAAGCAGGACAUAAAACAAAGCGACUAGAUGUGAAUUAUGGCA